Molecule: ribosomal RNA, 253 nt
Filed under: uncultured bacterium
Lineage: Bacteria
Description: partial 16S ribosomal RNA
Rfam family: Bacterial small subunit ribosomal RNA
Source: RNAcentral
UACGUAGGUGGCAAGCGUUGUCCGGAAUUAUUGGGCGUAAAGCGCGCGCAGGUGGUUUCUUAAGUCUGAUGUGAAAGCCCCCGGCUCAACCGGGGAGGGUCAUUGGAAACUGGGGAACUUGAGUGCAGAAGAGGAUAGUGGAAUUCCAAGUGUAGCGGUGAAAUGCGUAGAGAUUUGGAGGAACACCAGUGGCGAAGGCGACUAUCUGGUCUGUAACUGACACUGAGGCGCGAAAGCGUGGGGAGCAAACAGG